CGGCGAGUGAAGCGGCAUAAGCUCAAAUUUGAAAUCUGGCUCUUUCAGGGUCCGAGUUGUAAUUUGUAGAAGAUGUUUCGGGUGUGGCCCCGGUCUAAGUUCCUUGGAACAGGACGUCAUAGAGGGUGAGAAUCCCGUACGUGACUGGGUGCCUACGUCCAUGUGAAACUCUUUCGACGAGUCGAGUUGUUUGGGAAUGCAGCUCAAAAUGGGUGGUAAAUUUCAUCUAAAGCUAAAUAUUGGCCAGAGACCGAUAGCGCACAAGUAGAGUGAUCGAAAGAUGAAAAGCACUUUGGAAAGAGAGUUAAACAGUACGUGAAAUUGUUGAAAGGGAAGCGCUUGCAAUCAGACUUGCGCCUGGGCGAUCAUCCGAGGUUCUCCCCGGUGCACUCGUUCAGGCUCAGGCCAGCAUCGGUUUCUGUGGUUGGAUAAAGGCCUUGGGAAUGUAGCCCCUCUCGGGGGGUGUUAUAGCCCUCGGUGCAAUGCAGCCUACGGGGACCGAGGACCGCGCUUCGGCUAGGAUGCUGGCGUAAUGGUUGUAAGCGACCCGUCUUGAAACACGGACCAAGGAGUCUAACAUUUGUGCGAGUGUUUGGGUGUCAAACCCAUACGCGUAAUGAAAGUGAACGGAGGUGAGAACCCUUCAGGGUGCAUCAUCGACCGAUCCUGAUGUCUUCGGAUGGAUUUGAGUAAGAGCAUAACUGUUGGGACCCGAAAGAUGGUGAACUAUGCGUGAAUAGGGUGAAGCCAGAGGAAACUCUGGUGGAGGCUCGCAGCGGUUCUGACGUGCAAAUCGAUCGUCAAAUUUGCGUAUAGGGGCGAAAGACUAAUCGAACCAU
Molecule: ribosomal RNA, 839 nt
Filed under: Crumenulopsis sororia
Lineage: Eukaryota; Fungi; Ascomycota; Leotiomycetes; Helotiales; Cenangiaceae
Description: eukaryotic LSU rRNA
Rfam family: Eukaryotic large subunit ribosomal RNA
Source: RNAcentral